Molecule: ribosomal RNA, 503 nt
Filed under: uncultured bacterium
Lineage: Bacteria
Description: bacterial SSU rRNA
Rfam family: Bacterial small subunit ribosomal RNA
Source: RNAcentral
AUUGAACGCUGGCGGCAUGCUUUACACAUGCAAGUCGAACGGCAGCACGGGAGCUUGCUCCUGGUGGCGAGUGGCGAACGGGUGAGUAAUGCGUCGGAACGUGCCGAGUAAUGGGGGAUAACGCUUCGAAAGGAGUGCUAAUACCGCAUACGCUCUGAGGAGGAAAGCGGGGGACCUUCGGGCCUCGCGUUAUUCGAGCGGCCGACGUCGGAUUAGCUAGUUGGUGGGGUAAAGGCUUACCAAGGCGACGAUCCGUAGCGGGUCUGAGAGGACGACCAGCCACACUGGAACCUGAGACACGGUCCAGACUCCUACGGGAGCAGCAGUGGGGAAUUUGGACAAUGGGCGCAAGCCUGAUCCAGCCAUUCCGCGUGCAGGAUGAAGGCCUUCGGGUUGUAAACUGCUUUUGUACGGAACGAACGGCGAGCUCUAAUACAGUUUGCUAAUGACGUACGUAGAAUAAGCACCGGCUAACUACGUGCCUAGCAGCCGCGGUAAGAGUA